RNAcentral lists this transfer RNA (64 nucleotides) under Ixodes scapularis (black-legged tick). It matches the Rfam family "tRNA", at positions 5 to 66 of the family's 71-position model. Rfam says of the family: Transfer RNA (tRNA) molecules are approximately 80 nucleotides in length. Their secondary structure includes four short double-helical elements and three loops (D, anti-codon, and T loops). The record is from Rfam by way of RNAcentral. Lineage: Eukaryota; Metazoa; Arthropoda; Arachnida; Ixodida; Ixodidae.
GGUUAGCUCAGUUGGUAGAGCGCUCCACUGAUAAUGGCGAGGUCCCUGGUUCAAUGCCAGGACC